This 888-nucleotide ribosomal RNA is filed under the name Coccomyces phyllocladi. Its description in RNAcentral is "mitochondrial SSU rRNA". It matches the Rfam family "Bacterial small subunit ribosomal RNA", at positions 1 to 1143 of the family's 1533-position model. The record is from RNAcentral. Lineage: Eukaryota; Fungi; Ascomycota; Leotiomycetes; Rhytismatales; Rhytismataceae.
UUGGGAGAAUGUAUAGUUGUCCCAGACAACCUAGCCUCGGCUAGAUUAUCUUUACGUAGUAUAAUACUCGCUCAAGUUUAGAAGUAAAGAUAAUACCAACUACGCUUGGUUAAAGUUCUAGAUAGAAGACUGAUAAUGACAAUUUUUUAUCUACAUGUCUUGACCAAAUUACGUGCCAGCCGUCGCGGUAAUACGUAGAAGACUAGUGUUAUUCGUCUUGAAUAGGUUUAAAGGGUACCUAGACGGCAUUAUUAACCUUAAAUAAGGAAAUGUUUUUGCUAGAGUUUUAUAUGAGAAGGGGAGAAUUUAUAGAGUAGAGUUAAAAUGCUGUCAUACUAUAAGGACUGGUAAUGGCGAAAGCGACCUUUUAUCUAAAAACUGACGUUGAGGGACGGAGGCUUGGGGAGCGAAUAGGAUUAGAUACCCUAGUAGUCCUAGCAGAAAAUGAUGAAUGCCAUAGACUAGGUAUUAAUUUGGUUUAUAAAUGAAAGUGUAAGCAUUCCACCUCACGAGUAAUGUGGCAACGCAGGAACUGAAAUCAUUAGACCGUUUCUGAGAACAGUAGUGAAGUAUGUUAUUUAAUUCGAUAACCCACGAAAAACCUUACCACAACUUGAAUAUUUCACUCGUAUGGUUAAGGAUCCUAGAUUCUUAAGAGCAAGAAAUGUUGAAAUAUAUUUAACUGUAGACAUACAUUUAUAUGUUGAAAUACAUUUAAGACGAGUGAAUUACAAGCGUUGCACGGUUGUCUUUAGCUAAUGUCGUGAGAUUUUGGUUAGUUCCAUAAAAUUAGCGUAAACCCCGGCUUUAUUUUUAAAUUAAAAAUUAUAUUAAAAAUUAUAAUUAUUGUGAUAAAGCAGUUCAUCACUAUAUUGAAUUAUUUGAUAA